AAAUUGAAGAGUUUGAUCAUGGCUCAGAUUGAACGCUGGCGGCAGGCCUAACACAUGCAAGUCGAGCGGUAGCACAGAGAGCUUGCUCUCGGGUGACGAGCGGCGGACGGGUGAGUAAUGUCUGGGAAACUGCCUGAUGGAGGGGGAUAACUACUGGAAACGGUAGCUAAUACCGCAUAAUGUCGUAAGACCAAAGUGGGGGACCUUCGGGCCUCAUGCCAUCAGAUGUGCCCAGAUGGGAUUAGCUAGUAGGUGGGGUAACGGCUCACCUAGGCGACGAUCCCUAGCUGGUCUGAGAGGAUGACCAGCCACACUGGAACUGAGACACGGUCCAGACUCCUACGGGAGGCAGCAGUGGGGAAUAUUGCACAAUGGGCGCAAGCCUGAUGCAGCCAUGCCGCGUGUGUGAAGAAGGCCUUCGGGUUGUAAAGCACUUUCAGCGGGGAGGAAGGCGGUGAGGUUAAUAACCUCACCGAUUGACGUUACCCGCAGAAGAAGCACCGGCUAACUCCGUGCCAGCAGCCGCGGUAAUACGGAGGGUGCAAGCGUUAAUCGGAAUUACUGGGCGUAAAGCGCACGCAGGCGGUCUGUCAAGUCGGAUGUGAAAUCCCCGGGCUCAACCUGGGAACUGCAUUCGAAACUGGCAGGCUAGAGUCUUGUAGAGGGGGGUAGAAUUCCAGGUGUAGCGGUGAAAUGCGUAGAGAUCUGGAGGAAUACCGGUGGCGAAGGCGGCCCCCUGGACAAAGACUGACGCUCAGGUGCGAAAGCGUGGGGAGCAAACAGGAUUAGAUACCCUGGUAGUCCACGCCGUAAACGAUGUCGAUUUGGAGGUUGUGCCCUUGAGGCGUGGCUUCCGGAGCUAACGCGUUAAAUCGACCGCCUGGGGAGUACGGCCGCAAGGUUAAAACUCAAAUGAAUUGACGGGGGCCCGCACAAGCGGUGGAGCAUGUGGUUUAAUUCGAUGCAACGCGAAGAACCUUACCUGGUCUUGACAUCCACAGAACUUUCCAGAGAUGGAUUGGUGCCUUCGGGAACUGUGAGACAGGUGCUGCAUGGCUGUCGUCAGCUCGUGUUGUGAAAUGUUGGGUUAAGUCCCGCAACGAGCGCAACCCUUAUCCUUUGUUGCCAGCGGUCCGGCCGGGAACUCAAAGGAGACUGCCAGUGAUAAACUGGAGGAAGGUGGGGAUGACGUCAAGUCAUCAUGGCCCUUACGACCAGGGCUACACACGUGCUACAAUGGCAUAUACAAAGAGAAGCGACCUCGCGAGAGCAAGCGGACCUCAUAAAGUAUGUCGUAGUCCGGAUUGGAGUCUGCAACUCGACUCCAUGAAGUCGGAAUCGCUAGUAAUCGUAGAUCAGAAUGCUACGGUGAAUACGUUCCCGGGCCUUGUACACACCGCCCGUCACACCAUGGGAGUGGGUUGCAAAAGAAGUAGGUAGCUUAACCUUCGGGAGGGCGCUUACCACUUUGUGAUUCAUGACUGGGGUGAAGUCGUAACAAGGUAACCGUAGGGGAACCUGCGGUUGGAUCACCUCCUUACCUUAAAGAA
This 1550-nucleotide ribosomal RNA is filed under the name Klebsiella pneumoniae. Its description in RNAcentral is "bacterial SSU rRNA". It matches the Rfam family "Bacterial small subunit ribosomal RNA". The record is from RNAcentral. RNAcentral also lists the same sequence under 1 other name. Lineage: Bacteria; Pseudomonadati; Pseudomonadota; Gammaproteobacteria; Enterobacterales; Enterobacteriaceae.